This 357-nucleotide ribosomal RNA is filed under the name Haemaphysalis longicornis (longhorned tick). RNAcentral describes it as "partial 16S ribosomal RNA". Lineage: Eukaryota; Metazoa; Arthropoda; Arachnida; Ixodida; Ixodidae. The record is from RNAcentral.
UAAUAAGACUUUAAUUGAGUGCUAAGAGAAUGGAUUUUCAAAAAAAUUCUUUUUUAAGUUUAAAAAUUAAAGUUAUUUUUAUUUGUGAAGAAACAAUAAUAAAAAUUAAAGACAAGAAGACCCUAUGAAUUUUUAUAAACUUUAAUAUUUAAUUAAAUACUAAAGUUUAUUUAAUUGGGGCGAUUGAGAAAGAUAAAAAACUUUUUUUUUAUUUAAAGAGAUCCAUUAUUAAUGAUUUUAUGUAAAAAAUACUCUAGGGAUAACAGCGUAAUAAUUUUAGAUAGAUCUUAUAGAAAAAAUAGUUUGCGACCUCGAUGUUGGAUUAGGAUACUUGUUUAAUGAAGAAGUUAAAUAAAG